UAGACAUCUUCCUCAAGGUGCACUCUCUUACAUGUAAUCUCUUUGUCUGCUCUGCAGCACCUUAAUUAUGCCUCACUAAAAUGUUUCAGAUUAUUCAGUUCAUAUCAUGGAUCUUUUGAUGAUUCAAAAAAUCUUAAUUCCAGAACAUCAAUAAUAAUUCUUGACAAUCAACCAUAUGAAAAUUAGCUCUCAUCUCUAAGAGCAGCUUCUUAGUCAUUUUCGUUUCAUAAAUAAAUUUUGAAGAGGAGGGGUGCCAUGGUUUGAACAUCCUCACCUUCUGCACUAAGAGGCAUGCGCCAACCUUAUAUCCAGCUUAAUCUUGUGCCAGUUUAGCCUUCCUAUGCUGUUCAAUUAUUAAACUAUAAUUUCAAUCAUGAACCUUUAUGUAGAUAUUGAUUGAAUUGUCAAUAGAUUACUAACUUAUUGCGAUUCAUUGAUGAUCUUUACCCAUCAUUACGCAAAUAUAUCCUAUCCUGAGUGGGAACUAAAUGUGGAACUUGUAGCAUUCUUACAUCUUCAUGGACUUCCUUCAAGAGAAGUUCACCUAUUGAUCUGCCUCUCUCCUUAUAAUUAUUCUGAUAGGCUCAUCCUGCUUUACGUGACAUGGAGAGGAAGAAAGUGUGCAGUUUGAUGGAUUGUCAGAAG
This 645-nucleotide unclassified non-coding RNA is filed under the name Hevea brasiliensis (rubber tree). The record is from RNAcentral. Lineage: Eukaryota; Viridiplantae; Streptophyta; Magnoliopsida; Malpighiales; Euphorbiaceae.